This 253-nucleotide ribosomal RNA is filed under the name uncultured bacterium. Its description in RNAcentral is "partial 16S ribosomal RNA". It matches the Rfam family "Bacterial small subunit ribosomal RNA", at positions 524 to 776 of the family's 1533-position model. The record is from RNAcentral.
UACGUAGGAGACGAGCGUUGUCCGGAGUUACUGGGCGUAAAGGGUGCGUAGGCGGGUCUUUAAGUCAGGGGUGAAAUCCUGGAGCUCAACUCCAGAACUGCCUUUGAUACUGAAGAUCUUGAGUCCGGGAGAGGUGAGUGGAACUGCGAGUGUAGAGGUGAAAUUCGUAGAUAUUCGCAAGAACACCAGUGGCGAAGGCGGCUCACUGGCCCGGUACUGACGCUGAGGCACGAAAGCGUGGGGAGCAAACAGG